This 253-nucleotide ribosomal RNA is filed under the name uncultured bacterium. Its description in RNAcentral is "partial 16S ribosomal RNA". It matches the Rfam family "Bacterial small subunit ribosomal RNA", at positions 524 to 776 of the family's 1533-position model. The record is from RNAcentral.
UACGUAGGGACCGAGCGUUGUCCGGAUUCAUUGGGCGUAAAGAGCUCGUAGGCGGCUGUUCAAGUCGAACGUGAAAACUCGGAGCUCAACUCCGAGCCUGCGUUCGAUACUGCCCGACUAGAGGUAGGUAGGGGAGAUCGGAAUUCCUGGUGUAGCGGUGAAAUGCGCAGAUAUCAGGAGGAACACCGGUGGCGAAGGCGGAUCUCUGGGCCUUACCUGACGCUGAGGCGCGAAAGCUAGGGGAGCAAACAGG